GUACACGAGUUUGAUCAUGGCUCAGGACGAACGCUGGCGGCGUGCCUAAUGCAUGCAAGUCGCACGCAGGAGCUUCGGCUUCUGAGUGGCGCACGGCUGAGGAACACGUGGGAACCAACCCUCCAGUGGGGGAUAACGGCGCGAAAGCGCCGCUAAUCCCGCAUACGUUCACCCUGUUGAAGGGUGAGGAAAGCCGCAAGGCGCUGGAGGCUGGGCCCGCGGCCCAUCAGGUUGUUGGUGGGGUAACGGCCUACCAAGCCACUGACGGGUAGCCGGUCUGAGAGGAUGAACGGCCACAUUGGGACUGAGAUACGGCCCAGACUCCUACGGGAGGCAGCAGUGGGGAAUAUUGGGCAAUGGGGGAAACCCUGACCCAGCAACGCCGCGUGAAGGAAGAAGGCCUUCGGGUUGUAAACUUCUUUUACCAGGGACGAAGAACGUGACGGUACCUGGAGAAAAAGCAACGGCUAACUACGUG
RNAcentral lists this ribosomal RNA (478 nucleotides) under uncultured bacterium. Its description in RNAcentral is "bacterial SSU rRNA". It matches the Rfam family "Bacterial small subunit ribosomal RNA", at positions 1 to 507 of the family's 1533-position model. The record is from RNAcentral.